This 383-nucleotide ribosomal RNA is filed under the name uncultured bacterium. RNAcentral describes it as "bacterial SSU rRNA". It matches the Rfam family "Bacterial small subunit ribosomal RNA", at positions 30 to 410 of the family's 1533-position model. The record is from RNAcentral.
AUUGAACGCUGGCGGCAUGCCUUACACAUGCAAGUCGAACGGCAGCACGGGAGCAAUCCUGGUGGCGAGUGGCGAACGGGUGAGUAAUAUAUCGGAACGUGCCCAGUCGUGGGGGAUAACGUAGCGAAAGCUACGCUAAUACCGCAUACGAUCUAUGGAUGAAAGCGGGGGAUCGCAAGACCUCGCGCGAUUGGAGCGGCCGAUAUCAGAUUAGGUAGUUGGUGAGGUAAAGGCUCACCAAGCCGACGAUCUGUAGCUGGUCUGAGAGGACGACCAGCCACACUGGGACUGAGACACGGCCCAGACUCCUACGGGAGGCAGCAGUGGGGAAUUUUUGGACGAAUGGGCGGCAAGCCUGAUCCAGCAAUGCCGCGUGCAGGAUG